This 253-nucleotide ribosomal RNA is filed under the name uncultured bacterium. RNAcentral describes it as "partial 16S ribosomal RNA". It matches the Rfam family "Bacterial small subunit ribosomal RNA", at positions 524 to 776 of the family's 1533-position model. The record is from RNAcentral.
UACGGAGGAUCCAAGCGUUAUCCGGAUUUAUUGGGUUUAAAGGGUGCGUAGGCGGCUAUUUAAGUCAGUGGUGAAAUCCUGCAGCUCAACUGUAGAACAGCCAUUGAAACUGAAUAGCUUGAGUAAUCUUGAGGUAGGCGGAAUGUGUAGUGUAGCGGUGAAAUGCUUAGAUAUUACACAGAACACCGAUUGCGAAGGCAGCUUACUAAGGAUUUACUGACGCUGAUGCACGAAAGCGUGGGGAUCAAACAGG